RNAcentral lists this long non-coding RNA (5413 nucleotides) under Olea europaea subsp. europaea. Lineage: Eukaryota; Viridiplantae; Streptophyta; Magnoliopsida; Lamiales; Oleaceae. The record is from RNAcentral.
CAAACCCGAGCAUGGUUAUCAAUGAAUGUAACGAACCACUUUGUAUGGGUGCGAUUAGGGAUUCGUGAAGGUCCCCAUAAAUUGCUGUGAAUUAUAGAGAAUGGUUUAGAUGGUUUGUACACGGAUUUCGAGAAAGUAUUACGUUGGUGUUUUGCUAGUUCACAAAUUUCACAUUGAAAAUCAAAUGAAGUUUUAUUCGAAAAGAUAGACGGAAGCACGUUUAAGAUAUUGAAUAUUGGGAUGACCCAUUCUGUAAUACCACAAUAAGAUUUCACUAUCCCUAGAGACAUGCAGAAUCAAAAUUGCAAUUUGGCUUGGCUUACUCAUAUCUGCCUCCUCAAAGACCUCAAAGACCCUCAUACUCUUUGACACUGUUAAUCGUCUUUUUCGAUUAUAGGUCCUAAAAGAUACAAGAAGAAGGGAAAAAUUUAGCUGAGCAAUUUGAGGUUUUUGUUAAAUGACAGCAAGUUUCAAGUUAAUUUUGGAACAUGAAGUACUGAAUUUAGUGUUAUAGAUUCAAAUAAUUGGAUACUUCCUUUUCCUACCACAGUUGAGAGUGACCCAUCCGCAAUUUUAACCUUAAUAUUGCCGGUACAAGUUGUGUAUGAUGAGAAAAGUUGGUGGGCUCCAGUCAUGUGAUCCGACGCUCCUGAAUCAAUAAUCCAAGGAAUUUUGUAUUUCGAGGACGUAGUCAAGGCACUUGAGUGAUUACCUUUGUGAGCUAGUGAGCUUGAAGGGUCGUGUGUGGAAGGUUGACCUGAAGUUUGAAGACUGGAAAAGAUUUGAUAAAGUUGUUCCAAUUGUUCAGGAUUAAAUGCUCGCCCUGUAGUGGAAUUAUCUUUAAAAUUUUCCGUAUGAUCAAUUGCUGCUUGAUAGCCUCGAUUCCUGGUAUUUCGCCUUGGCUUCCGAUCAGUAGGUUUCCUGUGUAAAUCCCAGCAUGUAUCUUCCUUGUGUCUUAGUUUACUACAGUGUUCACACCAAGGCCUCCCCCUUUGUUGUUUUGAUCUAAUUGAAACCGACCCAUUUAAUCCAGGCCCAAUAGAGUCAUUUGGCCCAUUAUAUGGUUUUUCAGCCCAUCCACCUUUAGUAAUAAAAUUAGGCCCAUUCGGCCCAGUCACUGCCAACGGCCCAUUAAUCGCUUUCCCAUUUCUUUUGAACCCAGGUCCAUUCCGUUUCAGCAGCAACGCCGAUUCUACUGCACUGUCAUCUUCGCCAGUCUUCAUGAUAAUUUUCCGGCGAUUUUCCUCCCUUCGGACUUCUGCAAAGACCUCUCUCGUGGUUGGCAGUGGUCGUCGGCUCAAGAUUCACCCCCAACAUCAUCCAGGUCUCGGUUAAGGCUUGCAAGAAAUUCAAAAACCCGUUCGUUUUCAACCCUUUUCCGGUACCGUACACUAUCGCUUGGAGAUUCCUAUUCUUCCUCGAGGCAGAGGUCCAGUUCUUGCCACAUAUUCGUCAUUUCCAAGUAGUAGUUAGUGACUUCUCUUUCCCCUUGUUUGGUUUGCCAUAACCGGGUCUUCAAUUCGAAGAUUAGUGAGGCGUUUACUCCAUCAUAGUAUGUGUCCUUAGCUGCAUCCCAAACUUCUUUCGCAGUCGACAGAAACAGAUAAGUUUUACCUAUUGCUGGAGUCAUAGAGUUAACUAGCCAGGCUGUUAUCAUUGAAUUCUGAGACUUCCACUUCUGAAGAAGUGCCACAUCCGUUGGUUUCUUGGUAUCUCUAGUGAGAUACCCCAAUUUCCCUUUGCCUUCGAUAAUUAGUUUGAUGGAUUGGGCCCAUUCUCGGAAAUUUCCUCCGUUCAGAUUUUUUGACGGUGAGUUGAAAGGAAGAAUUUUCGACGUUAUUGGAUCCCAUGGAUGAGAUGACCUCUGUCUCGCUUUGGAGAGUUUCUGAGGUUGUAGAUUCCUUACUGUUUGUAGGAAUUUCUGACAUGGAUUGCUAGGUUAAUAGGGGUCUAGCUCUGAUACCAUGAAGGCUUGUAAAAAACACGUUUUCGUCUGUUUAUUGCCUUAAGAUACACUCUUCUGUACAUGACUUUAUAUACAAGUGAAUUAAGAAACAAGGAAGGAAACCAAUCUCCUAAAUAAGGGAAAAAUAAUUAUCCUACUUCACUAUAGAAAUAAUCAAAUAUGCAAUUUCAAUCAAAUCCCUAAUUUUCUCCAUUAAUCUGAUUUUCUACAUAGCUGUUACAUACUGAUUCCAGCAGAACUAUCGUUGAACUGUGAACUCACUCUGUGAAUCGGAAAAGUUUCCUGUGUUGUGUCCAUCGUUGUAAUCGUUAAAAUCCUAGAUAAAUCCGAUUAUUAUUCCUGGAAUUGAAAGUACAUUCUUCCUUGAGUCAACUUCGGCACGUGAAAUGUUCAUGACUGCCUUAUAAAUCUUGUUGGUUAAAUAAGAUAUCAAAUCUUUUGGGCUAAAUGCUUUGGUGUCUUAUCUAAGUUCUGUUUACUUAUUUGCUGUUGAGUUCUGGAUCGUUUUUAGAUUUGAUGGCAACAGAAGCAUGAGAAAAGUAUCCUUCGAGGUAGACAUUUGUUGUGUUAGGGAAGGCCUUUUAAUGGGGCUUAAUUGAGCAGUCCUAGUAUCCUCGAAAGAAUAAUAAAAGCCAAAGGCUUAAUUUCUUAAUAUCAAAGUCUAAAACAGGGAUCUAGACAUCAUAGGACACUAACCUGGCCAAUGGAAAGAGAGAAAAUGAGACACAACUAAAUUAGGAAACUAAAUGUUGAUAGAUCCUUAAUAUAUUGGAAACUGAGUUGCUUCAAUUGAUAUAAUUUGAUCUAAUUAGCAAGCAAUAUGAUUUGUUAAUACUAUGUUUCUGUUAUCACGUCUUUUUUGUCAUGUUCAAAUCCUGUUUAAUAAAAUAAAAAUUUGUCAUUGUUAUUAGUUAGUUAAUUGAUCCUCUCCUCAUAGUUAUGCACUGUUGAUGUGUAAGCUUUUAUUCUUGAGCAUACAUACUGAGUUUUUCAAACUGUAUUCUUGUCAAUUCUACUCUAUGUUUCUUUCUUUCUUUCUUUCUUUUUUCAAUUUUUUAUGUGGGGCAGGUGUAUUUCUUGAAGUCACUUGUUCUUGAGGUUUAUUGUGUUCUAUAUAUCACAGGUCCAGGAACAAGGAUAAAUUAAGAUAUAGAUAUCCUCGUGGGGAAUCUUAUCUAGAUGUUAUACAAAGGUUUGCAAUAAAAUGCUUUGCUAAUUCUUGGAAAGAUUUAGUUUAUCUGUUUAUUAUGCUUGGGUAAUGUUAUUUGCCUUUGGGCCUCUUUCAGGUUGGAACCUGUGAUUAUUGAACUUGAACGACAAAGAGCUCCGGUUGUGGUGGUAUCUCACCAGGUUUCACUUCUCAUCAUGAAACUGAAGUCUCAUCCCAAAAUGGCGUUGUAUUUCAGAGUGCUAAAAUGUUGUUAUUAUGGUCUGUCUUGCAGGCAGUACUGAGAGCUUUAUAUGCAUAUUUUGCUGACAGGCCAUUGCAAGAAAUACCCCACAUAGAGGUAAUUUGAGCAUGAUGGUUGAUAAUGUAAGAUGAUUAUUUGCCUGUAGUUUUACGCAUGAAAUGGAACUGACAAAUUCUCACUCAAUGUCUUUCACAUCUAACCAGAAGAAUUAUCUGUGGUUGCAACAUAUAUAGCACAUACAUGCUUUAAUGAUAUAGUAUUUAAUUUUCUUUUAUCACAACAAUCUUUACCCUUCACAAUCAGUGAAUAGGAAUUUUAAUUAAUGCUUAAGAUGCUAAGAAGCUAUGAAUUUUGGUUUGGCAAUUUGCAGAUGCCGCUUCAUACAAUCAUAGAGAUACAAAUGGGAGUCAGUGGUGUCCAGGAGAAAAGAUAUAAGCUCAUGGAUUAAAUUUGACUGAGAAAGUUGCUUAUAUGGAAAUUCUACACAUGGUACAGUAGCAAGGUCUCCAUAUUCUUGAAUGUAUAUUUCAUUAUAGGAUCUAAUCUUAACAGGGUUAUGUGACAACAAUUUAGUAGUCUCGACUACAAAUUUGGCUGUGCUCUCUCUUUCUCAGAGAGAGAGAGAGUCGCGCACUCAGGAACCUGUGCAUAUGUACGUGCAAAUCUCUUCAAAAAUAAGUUGGUGACUUCAUCAUGUAUUACCCUGAAUCUCGAGAUUUUGUUGUCUUCUUUGAUUGUAAUCUAUCGUUAUACAACAUGCUAACUUCCAAGCAUGGAGGAACUGUAAAUUGAACAUUCGCCUGUUGUUGAUAAUUGCAUUCAUCAGGUUAUACAUUUGCUCUGCUUGAUGAAGGAAGUUGAUCAUGUAACAAUUACCUGUUCGAUUAUUUUGUGUUGUACUUAUUGGGGUUAUUGUAGAUGCAGGAUAUAGUUUGACUUAAGUUGGCCUUGCAGGCUGUCUGAAACAAGUCAGAUACUGGUAAAUUCUGACUUGGUUUUCUUUUAUGCUUAAUCUUUAAGGUGUUUAGAGCAAUGUGGAUGGGUUCUAGCGCAAUAUUUACUACAUUUAGUCCCUGUUUGUUUCUCAUUUUUUUCUCAUUAAAAUGAAAAAUAUAACUGUUAUUCAUCACAUCAAGCCCCUAUACUUGAAUUUCUAUUUCUUGUGUGAGGCCCGUAACGGCUAUAUUUUUCAUUCCAAUUUUGACAUAAAUGGGAAACAAACGGGGCCUUAAUAUCUUGGAAGGAAACUGCCUAGUUUCAUGGUAAUCCACUUUCGCUUCAUCUCCCUACGAUUUCAACUUUUUAGAGUUAACAGGGGAACGCUUGCUACUACUAACCAGCCCAUUAUGCAUAUGAUUCAACAUGCCAACUAUUAAAGAACUUAUUAGAAAUAAAUUGGCGUUAUCUAUUAAAAAUUGUGGUAGGGCAGUUUAUGAAUGUCUUCGUGGUGUACUUGAUUUUACCAAAGAUGAUGAAAACUUGAACUCUCAGGCAUUUAUGUGUUGGAGAGAUUGUUUCUUAUUUUGUGUCGAAGCAAUUUAUAAAUCACAAGUUGAAAUAGGUGAAAUCAAAGGGCAUUACUUGAAUGUUGUUGGUAUAUGCGAAGGAUUGAUCAAAAGAGACACAAAUGGGGAAAAUUUCUCUCUUGCUUAUUCCUAUGCCUAUGAGUUCAAACUAAAGCUCUUAUUUUUUGUUGUGUAAUAGUAUGAAAUAAUGGACGGUAUAAAUUUAACAAUACUUUUUCUCCAAGAUCUGUUGCAGGAAUGGGAUAUUUCGAAUGAGUCUUGAAUGAGCCUCUCGAAAGCUUGAUACAACUAAACUAAGCCCGACCCAUAAAUGGCACAGUUUGGCGGGUGUGGGUGAAUGUAGUAGGAAGUGGACCGUGGUUCGUAGGGCAUUUUGUUUUUCUUAAUUUAUAUCUUCGUUCUUUUUCUUUUGCAUUUAUAUUUGUAAUUAAAAAUAAAGGUAUAAUCAUCUUUUUGGUCAAUUUUAAUUUUUUACUAUGAUAUUAAGGAGUGUAUUUCACUCAUACUUU